GCCUCCGUAGCUCAGGGGAAGAGCGCUUCUCUCCUAAAGAAGGUGUCGCAAGUUCGAAUCUUGCCGGGGGCG
Molecule: transfer RNA, 72 nt
Filed under: Janibacter sp. YB324
Lineage: Bacteria; Bacillati; Actinomycetota; Actinomycetes; Micrococcales; Intrasporangiaceae
Description: tRNA-Arg
Rfam family: tRNA
About the family: Transfer RNA (tRNA) molecules are approximately 80 nucleotides in length. Their secondary structure includes four short double-helical elements and three loops (D, anti-codon, and T loops).
Source: RNAcentral